AGUGAACGCUGGCGGUAGGCCUAACACAUGCAAGUCGAACGGCAGCACAGUAAGAGCUUGCUCUUACGGGUGGCGAGUGGCGGACGGGUAGGAAUACAUCGGAAUCUACUUUUUCGUGGGGGAUAACGUAGGGAAACUUACGCUAAUACCGCAUACGACCUACGGGUGAAAGCAGGGGAUCUUCGGACCUUGCGCGAUUGAAUGAGCCGAUGUCGGAUUAGCUAGUUGGCGGGGUAAAGGCCCACCAAGGCGACGAUCCGUAGCUGGUCUGAGAGGAUGAUCAGCCACACUGGAACUGAGACACGGUCCAGACUCCUACGGGAGGCAGCAGUGGGGAAUAUUGGACAAUGGGCGCAAGCCUGAUCCAGCCAUACCGCGUGGGUGAAGAAGGCCUUCGGGUUGUAAAGCCCUUUUGUUGGGAAAGAAAAGCAGCAGGUUAAUACCCCGCUGCUCUGACGGUACCCAAAGAAUAAGCACCGGCUAACUUCGUG
Molecule: ribosomal RNA, 491 nt
Filed under: uncultured bacterium
Lineage: Bacteria
Description: partial 16S ribosomal RNA
Rfam family: Bacterial small subunit ribosomal RNA
Source: RNAcentral